AUAUUGAAGCCAGAUGAUAAAAUAGUAUUUUACAUAUAAUCUUUAAAAUGUAGGCCUUAAAAAUACUGUAUCUUUCAGCUUAUUGGCUGAUGCCACCCUCAAAAUAACAGCAAUUGCCAGCUGAAUUCAUUCUAUGAAACUCUAGGUCAUUCAAAAUUGAUGUUAACAUUGUGUUAAGCUUUUACUCACAAUUUUCAGUUUGCUUAAGAAACUUCACUAGAAAAUAAGCUGAAUCACUAAUCUCCAUCUUCUGCCCAUUUUGUGUUGAUUGUAGGUCAAAGGUUUUAUAUAAUGUAAUCCAUUCUUUGCCCAGUAACUCACUUUAAUGAUGUUACACUACUGUUGUAUAUUUCCCUAAGGUACUUAAUUAUUUCUAGUUGGCAUUUUUGCUGGUUUCAUUUGUAUUCUUUUAUAACUGAACAUGGUUCAACAGGGAAUUGGAUAGGCUUUACUUAGUUGGCUUUCUUGUACUGAAUGAACAGUAUAC
This 487-nucleotide long non-coding RNA is filed under the name Bos taurus (domestic cattle). Its description in RNAcentral is "long non-coding RNA NONBTAT013926". The record is from RNAcentral. Lineage: Eukaryota; Metazoa; Chordata; Mammalia; Artiodactyla; Bovidae.